Molecule: ribosomal RNA, 397 nt
Filed under: uncultured bacterium
Lineage: Bacteria
Description: bacterial SSU rRNA
Rfam family: Bacterial small subunit ribosomal RNA
Source: RNAcentral
AAUCAACGCUGGCGGCGUGCCUCAGACAUGCAAGUCGAACGCGAAAUUUCCCUUCGGGGAGAAAGUAGAGUGGCGCACGGGUGAGUAACACGUAGGUAAUUUGCCUUUGGGUGGGGAAUAACUCAGGGAAACUUGAGCUAAUACCGCAUAAUGCAGCGGCUCGACAUCGAGACAGUUGUUAAAGCGGGGGAUUGGAGCAAUCCGACCUCGCGCCUAAAGAGAAGCCUGCGGCAGAUUAGCUAGUUGGUAAGGUAAUGGCUUACCAAGGCGACGAUCUGUAACCGGCCUGAGAGGGCGGUCGGUCACACUGACACUGACAUACGGGUCAGACUCCUACGGGAGGCAGCAGUCGGGAAUUUUGGGCAAUGGGCGCAAGCCUGACCCAGCAACGCCGCGU